Molecule: unclassified non-coding RNA, 253 nt
Filed under: uncultured bacterium
Lineage: Bacteria
Description: contains 16S-23S intergenic spacer region
Rfam family: Bacterial small subunit ribosomal RNA
Source: RNAcentral
UACAGAGGGUGCGAGCGUUGUUCGGAUUUACUGGGCGUAAAGCGUGCGUAGGCGGCUUUUUAAGUCGGAUGUGAAAUCCCCGGGCUCAACUUGGGAAUUGCAUUCGAGACUGGGGAGCUUGAGUAUGGGAGAGGAUGGUAGAAUUCCAGGUGUAGCGGUGAAAUGCGUAGAGAUCGGGAGGAAUACCGAUGGCGAAGGCAGCCAUCUGGCCUAAUACUGACGCUGAGGUACGAAAGCAUGGGGAGCAAACAGG